CAUGAUAUGAUUGCAAAGUUUUCCGAUUGUUCUUUAACUGUAUUAGUAUGAUCUCGCCUUGUUAAUUUAGUUGAUGCCUUGCCACUUUGGCAACAAGUUACAUGAAAACCCAAUAGUUAAUGGCUUAGACAGCAGUUGCAUAAUAAGUAUUACUUCAGUCAAGACAAUCAAUUACAAUGGACUGUGAACCAAAUCAACUAUAAUUAUAUAAAACCCAUUUAAGAUCCACGGCAGUUAGAUUUAGAAUGUCUAAUUGAGAUUGCAUAUGCCUAUAAUUAAGAAAAAUGAACCUGCUAUACAUUAGUCCCAAAAUACUGUUCCCUCAGACCAUGUAUCAGAAUACUGUUCCCUCAGACCUGAAUGCCUCCCGCUGAAUUUGGGUUUUGGCUCCUUUGAGAAAGGCUACGCCAGGCAAAUAUAGCACCUUGUGUCAAGGUGGACUUGAUGAGCCAGUACAGCGACCUUAUAUAGAUCGAGAUUGGCGGUUUGGUCAUUACCAGAUGGAAGGACUCCAGGAUCACUUGAGCCGCUUCUCACGAUUCAUUAUUCGACCCUUCUCCCCCAAAAAGAAAACAAAAUCUCAAGAGAAGAAUCCCAAAUUAAUUCUUCAGCCUCUUGAAACUUAACACUUCACAACUUACCUAUUUCUCUUGUUCUGAAAUCUAUAUUUUGUGCACUAAGCACUUUUAAUUUCAAUAUUCAAGUGAGUUGUUUUAUGUCCAA
Molecule: non-coding RNA, 723 nt
Organism: Vigna umbellata (rice bean)
Lineage: Eukaryota; Viridiplantae; Streptophyta; Magnoliopsida; Fabales; Fabaceae
Source: RefSeq, a predicted model, not a curated record